This is a long non-coding RNA of Notothenia coriiceps (black rockcod), 238 nucleotides long. RefSeq lists it as uncharacterized. The record is from RefSeq and is a predicted model, not a curated record. NCBI's taxonomy places the organism in Eukaryota, Metazoa, Chordata, Actinopteri, Perciformes, Nototheniidae. The transcript has 3 exons.
CUCUACUGAAGAUAGUCACAAUGAAGUUUGUGAUCUUGGCUUUGUUUGUCGCUGGUGCUUACGGUUGUGGUCUGCCCACCUUCACCCCCACCAUCACCAGGGUGGUUGGUGGAGAUGAUGUCCGUGAGCACAGCUGGCCCUGGCAGGUGUCUCUGCAGUACAAGAGUGGCAGCAGCUUCUACCACACUUGUGGUGGCACUCUGAUCUCCAGAGAAUGGGUCCUCACUGCUGCUCACUG